GUUACACUGGAAAUUACCAUCUGUUGGCUGGAAAUAAACAAAAUUCUCACUCAAUUCUUUUCACUGGCACUUCUAUUGAUGGACAAUAACUUGCUGAACAUCCUUUUGGGUCGUGUAAAACGAUCUGCAAUCAAAUGGAUUUGGAAGUUCUACCAAGUCCAUUUGAUUGCAGAUCGUUUUCAUCCAAAUCAUCAUCUUCAGCUAAUUUCAUCCUUAAACUAGAAAGCUUCGACUUGGGUGAUUUAAGGCCUGAGACACUCCAUUGAUCCUCUGCAGGAAAGCUAGUAGUGGUGCUUAAUGCUGCUGUAGGCCUUGAUGGAUCUAUUUUAUGGGAAGCUAGAAGUGCCUUGAUGUUGCUAGGCAGCUCAGUGACUUUGUCUCCAGCCAUAGCUGCUCUAGCUUGCUCAAAGAAGAGAACUUGCACUACCACCCUCAGUGGGAGUAGCUCAUUCUGUGCAGCAUGCAUACAGGCUUCAACAGAGAGUUUCUUGCAGUCUAGGGUUUGACAUAACCGUUUUCUUUCACUCUUGUUUAGGGCUGGAUGUGCCUUGAGAUAAAUGUCAAUAGCUCUGUAGAGAUCAUCAUGAUCAAGCCUUGCGAAAUCUGGUAUGGACUCAGCAAGGGCAAUAAACUUUGAAAGAGGCAAAUUAACAUCUCUGGCAAUCUCUUGAAGAUAGCCAUCUACAACCUUUGCUACCUUCAAUUUUGAGCUAUGUGAUGCAG
RNAcentral lists this unclassified non-coding RNA (723 nucleotides) under Hevea brasiliensis (rubber tree). The record is from RNAcentral. Lineage: Eukaryota; Viridiplantae; Streptophyta; Magnoliopsida; Malpighiales; Euphorbiaceae.